UUUACCUGUGUGACUGCGUACCUUUUGUAUAAUGGGUCAGCGACUUAUAUUCUGUAGCAAGGUUAACCGAAUAGGGGAGCCGGAGGGAAACCGAGUCUUAAUUGGGCGUUAAGUUGCAGGGUAUAGACCCGAAACCCGGUGAUCUAGCCAUGGGCAGGUUGAAGGUUGGGUAACACUAACUGGAGGACCGAACCGACUAAUGUUGAAAAAUUAGCGGAUGACCUGUGGCUGGGGGUGAAAGGCCAAUCAAACCGGGAGAUAGCUGGUUCUCCCCGAAAGCUAUUUAGGUAGCGCCUCGUGAAUUCAUCUCCGGGGGUAGAGCACUGUUUCGGCUAGGGGGCCAUCCCGGCUUACCAACCCGAUGCAAACUGCGAAUACCGGAGAAUGUUAUCACGGGAGACACACGGCGGGUGCUAACGUCCGUCGUGAAGAGGGAAACAACCCAGACCGCCAGCUAAGGUCCCAAAGUCAUGGUUAAGUGGGAAACGAUGUGGGAAGGCCCAGACAGCCAGGAUGUUGGCUUAGAAGCAGCCAUCAUUUAAAGAAAGCGUAAUAGCUCACUGGUCGAGUCGGCCUGCGCGGAAGAUGUAACGGGGCUAAACCAU
RNAcentral lists this ribosomal RNA (605 nucleotides) under Salmonella enterica. RNAcentral describes it as "partial 23S ribosomal RNA". It matches the Rfam family "Bacterial large subunit ribosomal RNA", at positions 584 to 1190 of the family's 2925-position model. The record is from RNAcentral. RNAcentral also lists the same sequence under 1 other name. Lineage: Bacteria; Pseudomonadati; Pseudomonadota; Gammaproteobacteria; Enterobacterales; Enterobacteriaceae.